AUUAUGAACAUCAUUUAUACAGUGAAUUUCGGUUGAUGUGAUUACUUGGCCCUCCAUUAAGUUUAAAACAUGGAACAGAAGGUCAAACUUAUUCUGAAUCAUACUAUCUCAAACGAUGAAGAAUCAAGCCUACAGAUUUUACCACAGCAUCUCCCCCAUCUAUCCUGCAGUGACACCAUAUAUAUCUUUCAUUGCUUUCUAUGG
RNAcentral lists this unclassified non-coding RNA (204 nucleotides) under Hevea brasiliensis (rubber tree). The record is from RNAcentral. Lineage: Eukaryota; Viridiplantae; Streptophyta; Magnoliopsida; Malpighiales; Euphorbiaceae.